UGAGGAAUAUUGGUCAAUGGGCGGGAGCCUGAACCAGCCAAGUCGCGUGAGGGAAGACGGCCCUAUGGGUUGUAAACUUCUUUUAUAGGGGAAUAAAGUUGGCCACGUGUGGCCUUUUGUAUGUACCUUAUGAAUAAGGAUCGGCUAACUCCGUGCCAGCAGCCGCGGUAAUACGGAGGAUCCGAGCGUUAUCCGGAUUUAUUGGGGUUUUAAAGGGGAGCGUAGGCGGGGGUCUUAAGUCAGUUGUGAAAGUUUGCGGCUCAACCGUAAAAUUGCAGUUGAUACUGGGUCCCUUGAGUGCGGCAGAGGCAGGCGGAAUUCGUGGUGUAGCGGUGAAAUGCUUAGAUAUCACGAAGAACUCCGAUCGCGAAGGCAGCUUGCCGGACCGUAACUGACGCUGAUGCUCGAAAGUGCGGGUAUCAAACAGGAUAGAUACCC
This 438-nucleotide ribosomal RNA is filed under the name uncultured bacterium. RNAcentral describes it as "bacterial SSU rRNA". It matches the Rfam family "Bacterial small subunit ribosomal RNA", at positions 355 to 787 of the family's 1533-position model. The record is from RNAcentral.